CAGUCUCAGUUCGGAUUGAAGGCUGAAAUUCGCCUUCAUGAAGCCGGAAUUGCUAGUAAUGGCAGGUCAGCAUACUGCCGUGAAUACGUUCCCGGGCCUUGUACACACCGCCCGUCACACCAUGAGAGUUGGGGAUACCCGAAGCCUGUGAGCUAACUUUUAGAGGCAGCAGUCGAAGGUGGAAUCAAUGAUUGGGGUGAAGUCGUAACAAGGUACC
Molecule: ribosomal RNA, 217 nt
Filed under: uncultured bacterium
Lineage: Bacteria
Description: partial 16S ribosomal RNA
Rfam family: Bacterial small subunit ribosomal RNA
Source: RNAcentral